This 727-nucleotide ribosomal RNA is filed under the name uncultured bacterium. RNAcentral describes it as "bacterial SSU rRNA". It matches the Rfam family "Bacterial small subunit ribosomal RNA", at positions 129 to 848 of the family's 1533-position model. The record is from RNAcentral.
GCAUCUACAGGGGGAUAACUGAUGGAAACGUCAGCUAAGACCGCAUAGGUGUAGAGAUCGCAUGAACUCUAUAUGAAAAGUGCUACGGGACUGGUAGGUGAUGGACUUAUGGCGCAUUAGCUGGUUGGUAGGGUAACGGCCUACCAAGGCGACGAUGCGUAGCCGACCUGAGAGGGUGACCGGCCACACUGGGACUGAGACACGGCCCAGACUCCUACGGGAGGCAGCAGUAGGGAAUUUUCGGCAAUGGGGGAAACCCUGACCGAGCAACGCCGCGUGAAGGAAGAAGUAGUUCGUUAUGUAAACUUCUGUCAUAGAGGAAGAACGGUGGAUAUAGGGAAUGAUAUCCAAGUGACGGUACUCUAUAAGAAAGCCACGGCUAACUACGUGCCAGCAGCCGCGGUAAUACGUAGGUGGCGAGCGUUAUCCGGAAUUAUUGGGCGUAAAGAGGGAGCAGGCGGCACUAAGGGUCUGUGGUGAAAGAUCGAAGCUUAACUUCGGUAAGCCAUGGAAACCGUAGAGCUAGAGUGUGUGAGAGGAUCGUGGAAUUCCAUGUGUAGCGGUGAAAUGCGUAGAUAUAUGGAGGAACACCAGUGGCGAAGGCGACGAUCUGGCGCAUAACUGACGCUCAGUCCCGAAAGCGUGGGGAGCAAAUAGGAUUAGAUACCCUAGUAGUCCACGCCGUAAACGAUGAGUACUAAGUGUUGGGAGUCAAAUCUCAGUGCUG